GACGAACGCUGGCGGCGUGCCUAAUACAUGCAAGUUGAGCGCUGAAGGUUGGUACUUGUACCGACUGGAUGAGCAGCGAACGGGUGAGUAACGCGUGGGGAAUCUGCCUUUGAGCGGGGGACAACAUUUGGAAACGAAUGCUAAUACCGCAUAAAAACUUUAAACACAAGUUUUAAGUUUGAAAGAUGCAAUUGCAUCACUCAAAGAUGAUCCCGCGUUGUAUUAGCUAGGUGGUGAGGUAAAGGCUCACCAAGGCGAUGAUACAUAGCCGACCUGAGAGGGUGAUCGGCCACAUUGGGACUGAGACACGGCCCAAACUCCUACGGGAGGCAGCAGUAGGGAAUCUUCGGCAAUGGACGAAAGUCUGACCGAGCAACGCCGCGUGAGUGAAGAAGGUUUUCGGAUCGUAAAACUCUGUUGGUAGAGAAGAACGUUGGUGAGAGUGGAAAGCUCAUCAAGUGACGGUAACUACCCAGAAAGGGACGGCUAACUACGUG
RNAcentral lists this ribosomal RNA (497 nucleotides) under uncultured bacterium. RNAcentral's name for it is "partial 16S ribosomal RNA". It matches the Rfam family "Bacterial small subunit ribosomal RNA", at positions 28 to 507 of the family's 1533-position model. The record is from RNAcentral.